This is a long non-coding RNA of Cydia fagiglandana, 541 nucleotides long. RefSeq lists it as uncharacterized. The record is from RefSeq and is a predicted model, not a curated record. The transcript has 2 exons. NCBI's taxonomy places the organism in Eukaryota, Metazoa, Arthropoda, Insecta, Lepidoptera, Tortricidae.
ACAUGAGCAAAUAAUUAAAACAUAGAUUGUACUCCUCAAACGAUGACACUUUUGUUCAACAACUUUUAAAAAUUAUGAAGUAUUUAGACUCCCUAUUUUUCAUACAAAAUAAAUAUUAUAUUCAAUGGACGCCAUCGCCACGCCAUAUCAUUGUGAUUGACGUUGCUUGUCAAGCCUUAAACAUAACAAAAUUCGCAAUACAUUGCGUCUUUGAAUAACCUUUAAAGUGUAUUAAAAAUCAAACUACAAGUUAUUUUCAAAAGUCACUGAAAAAAUGUUGAUCAGUAUGAGGAGUACAACUUACAGUUUAAUUUUUUGCUCAUAUUACAGGCCACACCCGGUAUAAAUGCCUAUAUUGUGAUCAUAUAUUAUUUGUUGUCUCAGAUGUAGAUGUAUUGAAAUUAUUUGAGGUGCUGACACAUUUGUAAGUUAUUUUUUGAACUCCACUUCAAAUUGUUUCAAAUAUUAAAACUCAUUGUGUAAAUAGCAAAAACUAAUUUGUAUUGUUGUUAUUUUAAGAAAUAAAUGGUUGAAAUUUUUA